CAGCCCUAAACGAUGCGCGUUAGGUGUAUCGGUGACCACGAGUCACCGAGGUGCCGAAGGGAAACCGUGAAACGUGCCGCCUGGGAAGUACGGUCGCAAGGCUGAAACUUAAAGGAAUUGGCGGGGAGCACCGCAACGGGAGGAGCGUGCGGUUCAAUUGGAUUCAACGCCGGACAACUCACCAGGAGCGACGGUUACAUGAAGGCCAGGCUGAUGACCUUGCCUGAUUUUCCGAGAGGAGGUGCAUGGCGUAGUCGUGU
This 260-nucleotide ribosomal RNA is filed under the name uncultured archaeon. RNAcentral's name for it is "partial 16S ribosomal RNA". It matches the Rfam family "Archaeal small subunit ribosomal RNA", at positions 748 to 1009 of the family's 1478-position model. The record is from RNAcentral.